UACGUAGGGUGCGAGCGUUAAUCGGAAUACUGGGCGUAAAGCGUGCGCAGGCGGUGAUGUAAGACAGUUGUGAAAUCCCCGGGCUCAACCUGGGAAUUGCAUCUGUGACUGCAUCGCUAGAGUACGGUAGAGGGGGAUGGAAUUCCGCGUGUAGCAGUGAAGUGCGUAGAUAUGCGGAGGAACACCGAUGGCGAAGGCAAUCCCCUGGACCUCGUACUGACGCUCAUGCACGAAAGCGUGGGGGAGCAAACAG
This 253-nucleotide ribosomal RNA is filed under the name uncultured bacterium. RNAcentral's name for it is "partial 16S ribosomal RNA". It matches the Rfam family "Bacterial small subunit ribosomal RNA", at positions 524 to 775 of the family's 1533-position model. The record is from RNAcentral.